RNAcentral lists this ribosomal RNA (449 nucleotides) under uncultured bacterium. RNAcentral describes it as "partial 16S ribosomal RNA". It matches the Rfam family "Bacterial small subunit ribosomal RNA", at positions 28 to 523 of the family's 1533-position model. The record is from RNAcentral.
GACGAACGCUGGCGGCGUGCUGAACACAUGCAAGUCGAACGGGACCUUCGGGUCUAGUGGCGGACGGGUGAGUAACGCGUGGGAACGUGCCCUUUGGUUCGGAAUAGCCCUGGGAAACUGGGAGUAAUACCGGAUACGGUCGAGAGACGAAAGAUUUAUCGCCGAAGGAUCGGCCCGCGUUGGAUUAGGUAGUUGGUGGGGUAAUGGCCUACCAAGCCGACGAUCCAUAGCUGGUUUGAGAGGAUGAUCAGCCACACUGGGACUGAGACACGGCCCAGACUCCUACGGGAGGCAGCAGUGGGGAAUCUUAGACAAUGGGGGAAACCCUGAUCUAGCCAUGCCGCGUGAGCGAUGAAGGCCUUAGGGUUGUAAAGCUCUUUCAGUGGGGAAGAUAAUGACGGUACCCACAGAAGAAGCCCCGGCUAACUCCGUGCCAGCCGCCGCAGUAA